CAGCAGCCACGGUAAUACGGAGGGGGCUAGCGUUGUUCGGAAUUACUGGGCGUAAAGCGCACGUAGGCGGCUUUGUAAGUCAGAGGUGAAAGCCCGGGGCUCAACCCCGGAAUUGCCUUUGAGACUGCAUCGCUUGAAUCCAGGAGAGGUGAGUGGAAUUCCGAGUGUAGAGGUGAAAUUCGUAGAUAUUCGGAAGAACACCAGUGGCGAAGGCGGCUCACUGGACUGGUAUUGACGCUGAGGUGCGAAAGCGUGGGGAGCAAACAGGAUUAGAGACCCCCGUAGUCCCUGUCUCUUAUAC
Molecule: ribosomal RNA, 301 nt
Filed under: uncultured bacterium
Lineage: Bacteria
Description: partial 16S ribosomal RNA
Rfam family: Bacterial small subunit ribosomal RNA
Source: RNAcentral